RNAcentral lists this unclassified non-coding RNA (766 nucleotides) under Hevea brasiliensis (rubber tree). Lineage: Eukaryota; Viridiplantae; Streptophyta; Magnoliopsida; Malpighiales; Euphorbiaceae. The record is from RNAcentral.
CUCAUCCAACAAAAUUCCCCGGACUUCUCUGUUCUUUGAACACUAGAUGCCUUAUAAAUACUCAGCAAUAUAUCUACCAAUAGCUUUGCAAAAGCUAAAAAUCCAAAAAAUAAGCAAAUGAAAAACACCGUGAUACCCUUAUUUUCCAUAGAUAUUUGAUUAUCUCGAACCCUUUCAACCAUUAACCUGAGCGCAAGAUUAUCCCUGAGGAGAUUAUCCAUCUGUGUAGAAACAAGGGAUUUCCAAGAAAGGAGAUCGUCAACUUCUUUAGCUAUGACCUCCUGGCUGCCAAGGAGAUUUCUUUAUGUCAGAUAUGAUUUUCUCUAAAAGUGUGUCUUUCUCUCCCAAAUCUUUGUCAAAUUCUUUAAAAAUAUUGCCAUAUCUGUAAUUCACCUCCUCCAAAUAUCGUUCCAAAACAGAUAAACUUAAGUCCAGAGAAUGAACUUUCUGCAUCAAUAUUUUAAGAACAGUGUCCCCUGGCAUUCUGCCUACUUGUUGGUGAUGAAUUUCUUCCACGCGAUCUGGCAAUUUAUUUUUCGUUACUUCAUGCUUCAUGUUUGAGUUUUCAACUGAAGUGCCAGAUUCAAUUCCCAUCCUAAGUUCUUGAUCAAAAUCAUCAACACGAGAAGACUCUGAUAGAGAUGGUAAAGGUUUUGGCUCACCAGUUCCCUCAUCAUAUAUAAUCUUGUUUUCAACAGAGAUCAAAUCUUCCAGCAUUCGCUCAACAGCAUCAACUCCGUACACUUCAACAACACUAAGAGUACAA